CUAACCUGCACAUUGUGCACAUGUACCCUAAAACUUAAAGUAUAAUAAUAAUAAAAUAAAAAAUAAUAAAAAAAAAUGAAAAUGACAUGAAAUGUGAAAUUUCAAAAAUAAAAAUAAAUGUGAUAUAAAUACAAAAAAAAAAGAAUUUCCAACCUAGAAUUUCAUAUCUGGCCAAAGUAAAUUUCAUAAGUGAAAGGGAAAUUUUUUUUUCAGACAAGCAAAUGCUGAGGGAAUUCAUCACCACCAGACCUGCCUUGCAAGAGCUCCUGAAGGCAGCACUGAAUAUGGAAAAGAAAAACUGUUACCAGCCACUACAAAAAACACACUGAAAUAUACAGACCAGUGACACUAUGGGGCAAAUACAUAAACAAGUCUGCAAAAUAACCAACUAGCAUCACGAUGUCAAGAUCAAAUUUACACAUAACAAUGUUAACCUUAGAUGUAAAUGAACUAAAUGCCCCAAUUAAAAGACAUAGAGUGGCAAACUGGAUAAAGAGUCAAAGUCCAUCAGUGUGCUGUAUUCAAGAGACCCAUCUCACAUGCAAAGACACACAUAGACUCAAAAUAAAAGGAUUGAGGAAAAUUUAGCAAGCAAAUGAAAAACAGAAAAAAGCAGGAGUUGCAAUUUUAGUUUCUUACAAAAUGGACUUAAAAGCAACAAAAUAGACUUAAAAGCAACAAAGAUCAAAAAAGACAAAGGCAUUAUAUAUUGGUAAAAGGGUCAAUUCAACAAGAAGAGCUAACUAUACUUAAUAUAUAUGCACCCAAGACAGGAGCACCCAGAUUCAUAAAACAAGUCCUUAGAGACCUACAAAAGACUUAGACUCCCACACGAUAAUACUGGGAGACUUUAACACCCCACUGUCAAUAUGAGACAGAUCAUCGAGACAGAAAAUAUAACAAAGAUAUUCAGGACUUGAACUCAGCUCUGG
RNAcentral lists this long non-coding RNA (932 nucleotides) under Homo sapiens (human). RNAcentral's name for it is "HSALNT0218785". Lineage: Eukaryota; Metazoa; Chordata; Mammalia; Primates; Hominidae. The record is from RNAcentral.